Homo sapiens (human) is the source of this 915-nucleotide long non-coding RNA. Ensembl annotates it as CCDC26 long non-coding RNA. Its record names the gene CCDC26. Lineage: Eukaryota; Metazoa; Chordata; Mammalia; Primates; Hominidae. The record is from Ensembl.
GCUACAGUGCUACUGGCCCAUAAUCAGGCAACUGCAGAGUCUUAGGGGGUUAUCUAAUGUAGUCUUGGGGUGGCUGGAUAGACUUCCCAAAGAAGGUGAUGCCGAAGCUGAGGUCGGAAAUUACGAAGAUCAGCUAUCAAACUUGGAAAUCAUGUCUUAGAGAUCAAGGAGCCAAGAGAUGAGACAAGCCUGGGUUCCUAGGUGAUAGGGUGUGGCUGUGUCCCCACCCAAAUCUCGUCUUGAAUUGUAGCUCCCAUAAUCCCCACAUGUUGUGGAGGGACCCUGUGGAAGAUUGUGCCUGCAGCCUGGCCUGUUGCCCACAGCGGUCUACCUGCCACACUGGGAAAGAUCGAGCAGAGACAGAGAAGAAAAGGAGGCUCCAUUUUUCAGGCUGCUCUCCCGCAGGCUCAUGUUUUGUGUUCAUGCCAGGCAGAGAACACAAAAUGUUCCAAUAAAUAAGUAUCAAAGGCUACACAGAAGCACUGCUGAUUUCAGCCCUGGCAGGACUCCUGUUUAAACAUACUUCCCAGAAAUCUUGGGCAGCUUGCCAUGGCAUUGUGUUAAGAAAAGGAUUGGUAGACAGAGAGAUGCACUGUUGAGAUUACCCUUCAGGAAGGACUUGCUACCGACUACAGGGGACAGGAAUCAGCAGACAUCCUCCAGCCAUCAGCUUCUUCAGGAUCUACCUCAGCGUCAAGGAACCACCUGACCUGAGGUCUCAUUCUUCCUUGGGCAGACUACAUCUUAUAACAAAGUGAGGUCUACAACUGUCCAGCUACUUAAUACAGGAAGAUAAGUUUAAUGUGAUGGAGGUGGUGGUGGUAGAAGCAGCAGUUGAAAGGCUUACCUUGACAAAGGGUAAAGCACUUCCUCUAAUUCACCAUCAACAAUAAUAAAAGUAUGUUUUCUAUACAU